This 460-nucleotide ribosomal RNA is filed under the name uncultured bacterium. Its description in RNAcentral is "partial 16S ribosomal RNA". It matches the Rfam family "Bacterial small subunit ribosomal RNA", at positions 338 to 795 of the family's 1533-position model. The record is from RNAcentral.
CCUACGGGAGGCAGCAGUGAGGAAUAUUGGUCAAUGGACGAGAGUCUGAACCAGCCAAGUAGCGUGAAGGAUGACUGCCCUAUGGGUUGUAAACUUCUUUUAUAUGGGAAUAAAAUGUUCCACGUGUGGGAUUUUGUAUGUACCAUAUGAAUAAGGAUCGGCUAACUCCGUUCCAGCAGCCGCGGUAAUACGGAGGAUCCGAGCGUUAUCCGGAUUUAUUGGGUUUAAAGGGAGCGUAGGUGGAUUGUUAAGUCAGUUGUGAAAGUUUGCGGCUCAACCGUAAAAUUGCAGUUGAAACUGGCAGUCUUGAGUACAGUAGAGGUGGGCGGAAGUCGUGGUGUAGCGGUGAAAUGCUUAGAUAUCACGAAGAACUCCGAUUGCGAAGGCAGUUCACUGGACUGCAACUGACACUGAGGCUCGAAAGUGUGGGUAUCAAACAGGAUUAGAUACCCGAGUAGUC